UUUUUUUGAAACUUAGGAAUCCUCACUCUCCCCGACUUGUUCUUUCUUAAUGCCUCACAAAUUAACAGUAGCACUAGCGCAUGAUGCAGCAUCCAGAUCUGCUUGAUAGCAUCCCAGAUUCAGCAAAUGUUGCAUCACUAACAACUACUGGGGGAGAAACAGAUCACGAACAAUGCACGGAUCAGUAAGCCGGCCAGCUGCGGGUAGCAAUGCCGGCGGGGAUCUGAAUGAUCUCAUCCUGAUCUAGGGGCACUUGGGCCCUCCUUCCUUGGUCUUCCAGUUGUUGUAGCAGGGGCAGGCGCCCUUGUUGCCGUAGAACCCGGGGGGCACGCAGAGGCAGGUGGCGCAGCACUUGUUGCAGAAGGUGAUGCAGGCCUUGUGGUACUGCGUCUGGGAGCACCGCGACGCGCACUUGGACGAGCACUCCCACGGCUUCAGGUUGCCCCUGCCGUAGCCGUUCCCGUUGCCGCUGCCACCGCCGUUGCCGUUGCCGUUGCCUCUGCCAUUGCCGCCGGCCUCCACCUCCUGCUGGACAAAACAGAAGACAGAGAAUUGAAUGAGCACAUAGCGCACACGGGAAAACGGCUGGAACUUGAAGGCUGAAAGGAUGAGGCCAGUGAGCUUACCACGGGGAAGGCGACGCCGAGGAGCAGAAGCACGAGCAUCAGGAAGGAGACGGCCUUGGCAGCCAUCGCUACUGCCCUGCCCAGCUUCUUCUCGGCACUUUUCCCUGUGCUAGAGAGGGAGAGGUGAAGCUGUUGAAGAAGGGGCGAG
This 774-nucleotide long non-coding RNA is filed under the name Setaria italica (foxtail millet). RNAcentral's name for it is "long non-coding RNA (SITA_LNC002915)". The record is from RNAcentral. Lineage: Eukaryota; Viridiplantae; Streptophyta; Magnoliopsida; Poales; Poaceae.